This 1373-nucleotide ribosomal RNA is filed under the name uncultured bacterium. RNAcentral's name for it is "bacterial SSU rRNA". It matches the Rfam family "Bacterial small subunit ribosomal RNA", at positions 28 to 1381 of the family's 1533-position model. The record is from RNAcentral.
GAUGAACGCUGGCGGCGUGCCUAAUACAUGCAAGUCGAGCGAACAGAUGAGAAGCUUGCUUCUCUGAUGUUAGCGGCGGACGGGUGAGUAACACGUGGGUAACCUACCUAUAAGACUGGGAUAACUCCGGGAAACCGGGGCUAAUACCGGAUAAUAUUUUGAACCGUAUGGUUCAAUAGUGAAAGACGGUUUCGGCUGUCACUUAUAGAUGGACCCGCGCCGUAUUAGCUAGUUGGUAAGGUAACGGCUUACCAAGGCGACGAUACGUAGCCGACCUGAGAGGGUGAUCGGCCACACUGGAACUGAGACACGGUCCAGACUCCUACGGGAGGCAGCAGUAGGGAAUCUUCCGCAAUGGGCGAAAGCCUGACGGAGCAACGCCGCGUGAGUGAUGAAGGUCUUCGGAUCGUAAAACUCUGUUGUUAGGGAAGAACAAAUUUGAUAGUAACUGAACAAAUCUUGACGGUACCUAACCAGAAAGCCACGGCUAACUACGUGCCAGCAGCCGCGGUAAUACGUAGGUGGCAAGCGUUAUCCGGAAUUAUUGGGCGUAAAGCGCGCGUAGGCGGUUUCUUAAGUCUGAUGUGAAAGCCCACGGCUCAACCGUGGAGGGUCAUUGGAAACUGGGAAACUUGAGUGCAGAAGAGGAGAGUGGAAUUCCAUGUGUAGCGGUGAAAUGCGCAGAGAUAUGGAGGAACACCAGUGGCGAAGGCGGCUCUCUGGUCUGUAACUGACGCUGAUGUGCGAAAGCGUGGGGAUCAAACAGGAUUAGAUACCCUGGUAGUCCACGCCGUAAACGAUGAGUGCUAAGUGUUAGGGGGUUUCCGCCCCUUAGUGCUGCAGCUAACGCAUUAAGCACUCCGCCUGGGGAGUACGACCGCAAGGUUGAAACUCAAAGGAAUUGACGGGGACCCGCACAAGCGGUGGAGCAUGUGGUUUAAUUCGAAGCAACGCGAAGAACCUUACCAAAUCUUGACAUCCUUUGACCGCUCUAGAGAUAGAGUCUUCCCCUUCGGGGGACAAAGUGACAGGUGGUGCAUGGUUGUCGUCAGCUCGUGUCGUGAGAUGUUGGGUUAAGUCCCGCAACGAGCGCAACCCUUAAGCUUAGUUGCCAUCAUUAAGUUGGGCACUCUAGGUUGACUGCCGGUGACAAACCGGAGGAAGGUGGGGAUGACGUCAAAUCAUCAUGCCCCUUAUGAUUUGGGCUACACACGUGCUACAAUGGAUAAUACAAAGGGCAGCGAAUCCGCGAGGCCAAGCAAAUCCCAUAAAAUUAUUCUCAGUUCGGAUUGUAGUCUGCAACUCGACUACAUGAAGCUGGAAUCGCUAGUAAUCGUAGAUCAGCAUGCUACGGUGAGUACGUUCCCGGGUCU